Molecule: long non-coding RNA, 3177 nt
Organism: Synchiropus splendidus (mandarinfish)
Lineage: Eukaryota; Metazoa; Chordata; Actinopteri; Syngnathiformes; Callionymidae
Exons: 3
Source: RefSeq, a predicted model, not a curated record
CCCAAUUCUUCAAAUGCUGAGGUAAUUAACAAAGGGGGAACCGCUGUUUUAAUAACACAUGGAAAUAGUGUAGGUUGAACGGCGUGGACCGCAGUGGGAUUCACACAGUGAUCAGCUGCAUUCCUGUGCUAUUUAUGUACAUGGCAAGUCACAAAUGAGUCUGAACAAUGUGCAGCUGCCAAUGUACUUUAUUUUGAAGGCCAACAGACAACCGGUAGUUCUAUAGCUUUGUUUUUCACCCUUGGCUAAACCAAGCAGGAGCCUACAGGGUGCUGACGUGGUGGUUCUCGAAUAAAGUUGGUCGGGACGGUAAAUUAACCCACCGGAGCCGCCCGGUGCUGUAUAUGGAUCGGUAGGUUGCUGUUUUUGUCGCUAAACCAGGAGAGCUAGCAGCUAGCUACCGCGGCUUUAAGGUCGGGGGAGUAGGAAGAACUGAACUCGGGAUGGGGGGCGUUUUUUUUUGCUGACUUUAGCACAACCAAGUAGCGCCUCCGGACCUGGGUUCUGUUGUCAAGUUUGUAAACGUGAUACACCCAAGCCCGUCCGAUGUUGCCCAACUGAGUGAGCUGCUUCGGAUUUUGGAGAGUUUGUACGUUGAAACGUCCCGGUCGUCGAUGACCGAUGACGUCACAUUUUCCGUCUCAGUGACAGCUUUUGACAGUGACGUGUCUACCUUCCCCCGGUGUGUCACAGAGGAGCAGCCAACUCAAACCAAACGCCUUUGAUUGCUCAACAGCUACGUGAAGGAACCAUGACAGCUGUGGUGGGUAAAGCCUGGGGCUGGGUGCGCUCCUGGGGGUGCAGCAACAGCAACUCCAGCUUCAGCAGUGGAAACUCAGAAGGUGUCAGAGGAUGGACAUCCUGGAUCUGGGGAGGAUGGAAACGCCAAAGUGACCAAAGCAGUUAUGUAGAAGAAUACUGGGAAGCCCAUGAGAAGAUCCAGCCUGUGGAGAUAGAAGAAAUCCAUGCAAGUCAGCAGGAGGGAGAACCAGCAACCAGAUGGUGGAAUAGAUAUCUUCCAGUUCACUUCUUUUAUUGGCCAAGGAGCAUUCAAACUGCAAGGAAACGAGUUCAGGUUCAAAAAGGUGGUGCAGACAUGGAUGGGGACUUCUCUGACUAUGGAACACCACCCCCGUCCCCACCUCCCUCAUCAAAGAUUUCAUCUCCUUUUCGACUGUUUGUUGAUAGCUGCAAUAUGGAAAUCCUUCCAGAGCACUAUGAUAUUUGCUUCAACUUCCUGCGCCACCUGUUUGACUUGUUUGUGGUUGGCUUUCUGUGGACUGUGUCCCCUCCUACCAAGCUGAUCCUAGAGGUUUUUGGAGUCCAAGGCACACUGAGGUUGUGGUUCCAUGGUAUGGCCAUGUUUUUUGUCUCCACUGUAGGGAUGGCAGGGCUGCUCUGGCUGAUCCAGGAGUAUCUCCCUCAGUUUGCGCUCAUCUAUGGUGUCAUGCAGGCCAUGGUCAUCUCAGUGAGCAUGAAACAGAGCAUGCUCUUCAAUGUGAAAGAGGACAAAGAAAGUCCAGAUGAUGAAAGCAAAGAGACAAACAACAAGAAAGACAUUUAGUGAGCAGAGGAGUCCAGCAACUUCACGUCACCUCCAGACUCACACUAGCUGGAUACACUACUAUGGACAAUCUUCUGGCCCAAAGCGAAUACUGACGACAAAAUGUCACUUUAUAGGUAUAUGACCCUGAUGUUAUCACCUGGAUCUUGACCAAAAAAAGACAACAGAACGUUCAACUUCAUGUUUAGAUAACUUGCUGUCUAGUUCCGUUUAUGGUUUUUGACUAGAAUGUUUUAUUCCACAAAGGAAAACAAUAUGCAAGACAAUUUAGCACCACUCCGAGACUUGAUGCUGACUAAACCAAGGAAAAAUGCUGUUGGGAAAUUAACACCAGAGAGGGGCAUUUGGUCAGAGACAAAAGCCAGCGUGCUCUUGGAAUUAUUUCUGGCAUUUGAGGAAUCUCUGUCCUUAUCUGAAGAAACCAGGUUAUGAACUUAAUUGUGACAUCAAAGCUACAAGUUUGAUCCUGAUCUUUUGCUAAGUGAUUUUGAUGCAGAAUGCUUAUUUUUAUCUUUCUAUCAAAGAUUGUAUUCACAGCCUCUGCCAAUAGGUUAAGACAUUUGAGAUUGCUCCGUUUUCAUGUGCAACUCUGUCAAAGCAUUAGACAUAUGAAAAAGUUGCAGUUUAAAGUUCUUAAUGUUGUCCAAGUUAUAGAAGUGGACAGAUACUCAUGUAUUUUGCUUCAUUUUGUAUUUAAUAAUUCACUGUUGCCAUAAUGCUAAUGAUUUUUUGGCAUGUUCUGUAAAACACUCCCAUUUGAGCACCUUUAUUAAUGUCGUAUAUCAGUGGCCACACCACUCUGAAUGGAUUACAUUACAACUACAAAGUUUUUCAGUUUUUUUUCCACAAUCUUGCUAUUUCAGUCCCUCAGACUCAAAGCAUAGGAAACUGAGGAAAAAUGUUUUCUGUGUGAUAAACCUAUUGCUUGAUAAUAUAUUUUGAGCAAUUUUUGGUUAACGAUAUUUCAAGUGCAGGUACAUUAUGUUUGGGUUCUUGUAAGUUAGCACUGUGAAAAAAGUGGCGUACAUCAGCACCAAACAUUAAGAACUUGUGCUAUAUUGAGACAAAAAAAUGGGAUGUUAUAAUGGUCAGUUUCUUGUGAGACAGUUGUAAGAAUACAGAUAUAUGCUUGAGAUUUGGGCACGUUUUGAGUUGAAUAUCAAAGCAAUUUCUAUCUGACUCUAUUACCAAGUCAAUUACAACAGUUUCUGAUUGUCUUGUAACACAGAUGUUCUGCCAUCAAAUUAAGUGUGGGAUCUCAGAGGAAACUUGUUACUUACAUCUUUCUACUUUUGACUUCUCAAUAUUAUAUCAUUUUUCAGCAAGACCCUGGACUCAACAAGGUUAACGUGCAAUUACAGCUGCUGCUUAUUUUGGUUGUUUUUAAAACGGCACUCAAAUGUCUUGAUGAAGAAUGUUCAAAUAGACUCAAGUGUUUGGGUUAAGAAUGUUCAUUUAUUAAUGUAAAUAUAUGCAAAUGUGUGCAAAUCUUGCUUCCUGUCAUACUAUUGGUGGUUUUGAAAAGCAGAUGUCACGUACCGUUGCCACUGUUUGUACACGCACCCACUUCAGAGCUAACCCAUCACUGUUGUUUCAAUAAAACACCCAUGAAA